GGAGGGGGCUAGCGUUGUUCGGAAUUAUUGGGCGUAAAGGGCGCGUAGGCGGCCCGGCAAGUCAGUCGUGAAAGCCCUCGGGCUCAACCGAGGAACUGCGAUUGAAACUGCCGGGCUUGAGUUCUGGAGAGGGUAGCGGAAUUCCCAGUGUAGCGGUGAAAUGCGUAGAUAUUGGGAGGAACACCCGUGGCGAAGGCGGCUACCUGGACAGAUACUGACGCUGAGGCGCGAAAGCGUGGGGAGCAAACAGGAUUAGAUACCCUGGUAGUCCACGCUGUAAACGAUGGGCACUUGGUGUUGCGGGUAUCGACCCCUGCAGUGCCGAAGCUAACGCAUUAAGUGCCCCGCCUGGGGAGUACGGUCGCAAAGGCUG
RNAcentral lists this ribosomal RNA (373 nucleotides) under uncultured organism. Its description in RNAcentral is "partial 16S ribosomal RNA". It matches the Rfam family "Bacterial small subunit ribosomal RNA", at positions 527 to 896 of the family's 1533-position model. The record is from RNAcentral.